RNAcentral lists this long non-coding RNA (409 nucleotides) under Arabidopsis lyrata. Its description in RNAcentral is "long non-coding RNA (ALYR_LNC000436)". The record is from RNAcentral. Lineage: Eukaryota; Viridiplantae; Streptophyta; Magnoliopsida; Brassicales; Brassicaceae.
UCCUGCAACAAAGAAAAAUGAAUCAGUGAGAAGAAGAUGAAGAAAAGAGAAGAAGCCACAACGAAGAAGAAGAAAUGUUUUGAAGAGAGUCAACGACAAAGAAGGAAGCAAAGUCAACCUAAGGAUAUGUUGGGCUUUGUGUGGUUUAGGACAAGAUUAAUGGGCUGCAAUUAAUAAGGCCCAAAGAAGAUUGUGUGUGUUUGUUGGUAUAAACUAUAAAGUGUAGACCAAGAACCAAAGUAGAGUUGUUGUGUAAGAGUAAAUUAAGGAGUUGGAGUUCCAACAUAGUAGAGUGGUUGAUGUAAGUCGUAGGAUAAUAAUGUCUAGAAGUAUGGUUAAAAAGUAUGGUGCAUGUGUGAGGUGCAAAUAGAAGAUAUGUGUAUGUGUGUUGUAAGAAAUAUACCCAAGC